UAAAAGCCACCUGGUCAUAAAGACUCCUUUACUUGUCUGCACUGAGUGGUCUUUAUAUACAGGUUUGACUUUACUCUUAUGAUACAACUUUUUAGAGAGGCUGCAUUUUUUGCACUUCAAAGGAUUUUAUAUUUUGAGCGUAUGUCCUACGGCAGUGGAGGACAUACCCUUAUACAUGUAUGCAUAUCAAAUAUUCUUGCUUCUAUGUUUUGAUAUGUCAUGUAACAAUAAGGCUUAUUAAAUACAUAAUGGAUGCUCAGGUUUAAAUGAAUUUGAUGUGAUUGAUGCAAGUCUUGAAAUAUCAGGUUAUGUGUUUAGUUCUCUCUUCUUUUUAUACAAAUUUUAAAAUGUUUAAAUUAAUGAAUCAAAAUGAUUAAUAUGCAAAGAUUGUAUAUAUUUUUAGUGAAGAUGGCUCCCAGCUGAUAAACAGUCUUUUGAUAAAUAUAUUCUAUAUUUAAUGAUGUAACAUUUAACAUUGGAUGUUUGGGUUAUCUUUUAGUUGAGACUGAAAUCUUGACCUGAAUUACCGAAUUGGAGACCUGAAGAUCACAAGAUUUAAUUACAAAUCAUUUGUCAGUUUAUUGUUAAAAACAAAUGUAAUUGUUAUGGUAACAUGGUUAUAAAUAUGUGUGUGGUGUAUACAUGUAUAUAAAUAUAUAUAUUCUUUUUUUUGGGGGGGGGGGGGUGGUGAGGGUAAUUAAGAUUACAAUGGAUACAAGAAGUUAGCUUUUAAAUGGUACUACAAGUGUCUCCCAUAUUAAAUAUCAGUCCAUGAUAGACCUCAGCUAAAGCUACAUUUAUAUUUGAUAACGUCAUAGGCUUGAUUUAGCAGAAGUGGAAUUGUGUGUUCACAUUAUUUUGUAAAUUCUAUGUCAAAAUAAUGUAUACAGUUCUGUUUUGGUAUAGUCAUCUUGUGAGUUGGACAAUCAAUGCAAGAUUUUUGUAAUACAAACCUCAAUCAGGCAUGCAGUAUUCUUGAACAUAUAUUUUACAUUUUAAUAAAUCAAAAUGUGUUUAAAAUCCUGAAAUGAUGAGAUUAUGAUAUUAACUUGUUUAGAUAUUUGACUCUUAAGACUGUACUGAUGUGUUGUUAUCUCGUUCUGUCUCUGCAUGAAACAAUUAAUGAUAAAGUUUUUUACCUACAAGUUCUUAGAAGAAGUAUAUGUGUGUAUGGUGUUGAAAUAGUACAAUUACAAGAUCUGAAAUAAAUUAUAUAUUUGUUGAAAAUGGAAUUGAAGUUAGGCAGGUUUUGUAAAGUGUAUAUGAAAAGAGUUAAUAAUUUUUAUCAAGGGCCUGCAUCAAUAAAUGAUGUGAUUGACUAAAUAUAUUAUUAUAUGUUGAUGUGUUCUUCAAAUGUGUGUACACUUGUGAGAUAGAGCUGGCUGUUACAACUUGUGAUUGUAUUUAAUGUAAAGUAUUAGAUUGUUACAUUUCAAGACAUGUAACAUUUUGUAACCAAAGUUUAAGUGAUAUUGUUUAUUUUUAUUGGAACAGAUCUGGUCCACAAAUUUCAUAUGCAAGUAUAUUUUUGUGUGAAAAAUAAUCAAUCAUAUAUACACAAAUCUUGUAAAAAAAGAAAUUUUGAGUAGAUCUUAUAGGGAUAAUUUUCAUGUGUUUAUGAUUGUUUUAAAGUAAUCCAUUAAAUGUAAUUUGUUUGUAGAUUAUGAUGAUGGACAAAGAAUUUGUAUUCUCUAAGAUAUCAAAGUAUCAUGAAAUCAAGCAUUUCAUGUUUUUUUAAAUGUUUCAGCAAUCUUGUCUUAAAGACCUAUCUGUGCCAAAGACGGAACAUAGAAAAAGUAGGUUAACUACUUUAUCAAAGUGACGUAUACAAUUUAUGUUCUUCUUCUUUGUUUACUUAUGUAUUCAUUUUGAAUAGUGUGAACCUGGGCCAUAUUAUAACAUUCCAAUAGUCCCAUUGUAGAGGUUUAUAGGUCUAUAGAUUUUGUAUCUGGGUAUGGUAAAUCGUCAUAUUUGCAUGCCUGUUAUUCAUUUCCAUUUGCCCUUUGAAUAUGAGUUGUGGAUUUAUAGAUGUGCAUUUAUAAACAUUAAGUGAAGGACAUAUCUUAAUUACAAAUUACAUGUAUAUGAAGGUAGGUGUUAAGCUUUUUAGAACGAAAAAAGCAGAAGGAUCCAUUAUGUUCAAAUAUUUUGAUUGUUUGUUUUAUUUUUAUGCACAUGUAUAUGUACAUUCAGCCUACACAAACAUGUGUUUUCGCCUAUGUGUUGUACUUCUACCGGUAUUAGAAGAUUGGACACCUUGAAUUUUUUUUUAAAGAAAGAUUUGUUGUGAAUUUGUUUAGUUGCUUGCCAAUUUUUGUACAGGUAUCAGUACAAUCUUUCAUAACAUUCCAUUUCAUGUUAGUAUUAUUUAUACCUGUCAUUUAUAAAAAGACAUCAGCCAAUGCUAUUUAAAGAUGACAUUGGUAGAUGUGACAUUCUUUUGUACAAAAGAGGGUUGAAAAAAUUAAUUAACCCAUAGCAGUUGUGUCUCUUUCUAGUUAUGUUUUUGCAACACCUUUUGAUCAAGAAUGCUAAGAAUACACAUACAUGAGCA
Molecule: long non-coding RNA, 2554 nt
Filed under: Strongylocentrotus purpuratus (purple sea urchin)
Lineage: Eukaryota; Metazoa; Echinodermata; Echinoidea; Camarodonta; Strongylocentrotidae
Description: uncharacterized LOC115919325
Source: RNAcentral